CCUACGGGAGGCAGCAGUGGGGAAUUUUGGACAAUGGGCGAAAGCCUGAUCCAGCAAUGCCGCGUGAGUGAAGAAGGCCUUCGGGUUGUAAAGCUCUUUUGUCAGGGAAGAAACGGUGGGAGCUAAUAUCUCUUGCUAAUGACGGUACCUGAAGAAUAAGCACCGGCUAACUACGUGCCAGCAGCCGCGGUAAUACGUAGGGUGCAAGCGUUAAUCGGAAUUACUGGGCGUAAAGCGUGCGCAGGCGGUUUUGUAAGUCUGAUGUGAAAUCCCCGGGCUCAACCUGGGAAUUGCAUUGGAGACUGCAAGGCUAGAAUCUGGCAGAGGGGGGUAGAAUUCCACGUGUAGCAGUGAAAUGCGUAGAUAUGUGGAGGAACACCGAUGGCGAAGGCAGCCCCCUGGGUCAAGAUUGACGCUCAUGCACGAAAGCGUGGGGAGCAAACAGGAUUAGAUACCCUGGUAGUCCACGCCCUAAACGAUGUCUACUAGUUGUCGGGUCUUAAUUGACUUGGUAACGCAGCUACGCGUGAGUAGACCGCCGUCGGGAGGUACGGUCGCGAGAAGUUAAACGUAACGUAAAGUAGUAAGUUAGUACGGACGUGAGACGUAGACCGACGGACGACGACGAGGGGAGGAGGG
This 639-nucleotide ribosomal RNA is filed under the name uncultured bacterium. Its description in RNAcentral is "bacterial SSU rRNA". The stretch from base 1 to 540 matches the Rfam family "Bacterial small subunit ribosomal RNA", at positions 338 to 873 of the family's 1533-position model. The record is from RNAcentral.